AUUGAACGCUGGCGGCAGGCCUAACACAUGCAAGUCGAGCGAGCGGCGGACGGGUGAGUAAUGUAUGGGGACUGCCCGAUAGAGGGGGAUAACUACUGGAAACGGUAGCUAAUACCGCAUACUAUCGGAUAACCCAUAUGGGAUUAGCUCGUGGGUGAGGUAAAGGCUCACCUAGGCGACGAUCCCUAGCUGGUCUGAGAGGAUGAUCAGCCAAACUGGGACUGAGAAACGGACCAGACUCCUACGGAGGCAGCAGUGGGGAAUAUUGCAAAAGGGGCGCAAGCCCGAGGCAGCCAAGCCGCGGUGAUGAAGAAGGCCCUAGGGUUGUAAAGUACUUUCAGGGGGGAGGCGUUACCCGCAGAAGAAGCACCGGCUAACUCCGUGCCAGCAGCCGCGGUAAUUC
Molecule: ribosomal RNA, 403 nt
Filed under: uncultured bacterium
Lineage: Bacteria
Description: partial 16S ribosomal RNA
Rfam family: Bacterial small subunit ribosomal RNA
Source: RNAcentral